CCUACGGGAGGCAGCAGUGGGGAAUAUUGGACAAUGGGCGAAAGCCUGAUCCAGCAAUGCCGCGUGAGUGAUGAAAGCCUUCGGGUCGUAAAGCUCUUUUACCAGGGAUGAUAAUGACAGUACCUGGAGAAUAAGCUCCGGCUAACUCCGUGCCAGCAGCCGCGGUAAUACGGAGGGAGCUAGCGUUGUUCGGAAUUACUGGGCGUAAAGAGUACGUAGGCGGUUAUUCAAGUCAGAGGUGAAAGCCCGGGGCUCAACCCCGGAACUGCCUUUGAAACUAGAUAACUAGAGUCUUGGAGAGGUUAGUGGAAUUCCGAGUGUAGAGGUGAAAUUCGUAGAUAUUCGGAAGAACACCAGUGGCGAAGGCGACUAACUGGACAAGUACUGACGCUGAGGUACGAAAGCGUGGGGAGCAAACAGGAUUAGAUACCCUGGUAGUCCACGCCGUAAACGAUGAUAACUAGUUGUUCGGUCACUUGGUGACUGAGUGACGCAGCUAACGCAUUAAGUUAUCCGCCUGGGGAGUACGGUCGCAAGAUUAAAACUCAAAGGAAUUGACGG
This 561-nucleotide ribosomal RNA is filed under the name uncultured bacterium. RNAcentral describes it as "bacterial SSU rRNA". It matches the Rfam family "Bacterial small subunit ribosomal RNA", at positions 338 to 916 of the family's 1533-position model. The record is from RNAcentral.